This 433-nucleotide ribosomal RNA is filed under the name uncultured bacterium. RNAcentral's name for it is "partial 16S ribosomal RNA". It matches the Rfam family "Bacterial small subunit ribosomal RNA", at positions 29 to 507 of the family's 1533-position model. The record is from RNAcentral.
AACGAACGCUGGCGGCAGGCCUAACACAUGCAAGUCGAGCGGACCCUUCGGGGUUAGCGGCGGACGGGGGAGUAACGCGUGGGAAUAUGCCCUUCUCUACGGAAUAGUCCUGGGAAACUGGGGGUAAUACCGUAUACGCCCUGUGGGGGAAAGAUUUAUCGGGGAAGGAUUAGCCCGCGUUGGAUUAGGUAGUUGGUGGGGUAAUGGCCUACCAAGCCGACGAUCCAUAGCUGGUUUGAGAGGAUGAUAAGCCACAAUGGGACUGAGACCCGGCCCAGACUCCUACGGGAGGCAGCAGUGGGGAAUCUUAGACAAUGGGGGCAACCCUGAUCUAGCCAUGCCGCGUGAGUGAUGAAGGCCUUAGGGUUGUAAAGCUAUUUCAGCUGGGAAGAUAAUGACGGUACCAGCAGAAGAAGCCCCGGCUAACUCCGUG